UACCCGCUCCCCGAGUGGUGAGGGCGAUUAUUGGGCUUAAAGCGUCCGUAGCCGGCUCUACGAGUCUUCCGUAAAAUCCAAAGGCCUAACCUUUGGACUGCGGAAGAUACUGUAGGGCUUGGAGGCGGGAGAGGUCGCGGGUACUUCCUGGGUAGGGGCGAAAUCCUCUGAUCCAGGAAGGACCACCAGUGGCGAAGGCGCGCGGCCAGAACGCGCUCGACGGUGAGGGACGAAAGCUGGGGGAGCGAACCGG
RNAcentral lists this ribosomal RNA (253 nucleotides) under uncultured archaeon. RNAcentral describes it as "partial 16S ribosomal RNA". It matches the Rfam family "Archaeal small subunit ribosomal RNA", at positions 474 to 727 of the family's 1478-position model. The record is from RNAcentral.